CCUACGGGUGGCAGCAGUGGGGAAUAUUGGACAAUGGGGGCAACCCUGAUCCAGCCAUGCCGCGUGUGUGAAGAAGGCCCUCGGGUUGUAAAGCACUUUCAGUGAGGAAGAACGCCUGGUGGUUAAUACCCAUCAGGAAAGACAUCACUCACAGAAGAAGCACCGGCUAACUCCGUGCCAGCAGCCGCGGUAAUACGGAGGGUGCGAGCGUUAAUCGGAAUUACUGGGCGUAAAGCGCGCGUAGGUGGCUUGAUAAGCCGGUUGUGAAAGCCCCAGGCUCAACCUGGGAACGGCAUCCGGAACUGUCAAGCUAGAGUGCAGGAGAGGAAGGUAGAAUUCCCGGUGUAGCGGUGAAAUGCGUAGAGAUCGGGAGGAAUACCAGUGGCGAAGGCGGCCUUCUGGACUGACACUGACACUGAGGUGCGAAAGCGUGGGUAGCAAACAGGAUUAGAUACCCCGGUAGUC
Molecule: ribosomal RNA, 465 nt
Filed under: Vreelandella stevensii
Lineage: Bacteria; Pseudomonadati; Pseudomonadota; Gammaproteobacteria; Oceanospirillales; Halomonadaceae
Description: partial 16S ribosomal RNA
Rfam family: Bacterial small subunit ribosomal RNA
Source: RNAcentral